RNAcentral lists this long non-coding RNA (441 nucleotides) under Lotus japonicus. RNAcentral's name for it is "long non-coding RNA (LJAP_LNC001093)". The record is from RNAcentral. Lineage: Eukaryota; Viridiplantae; Streptophyta; Magnoliopsida; Fabales; Fabaceae.
GCCAUUACUAUUAACAGCGGUUAGUUUUGUAGCCGCUGUAAAGACGGAAACACGAAGCGGAUUAUAGGCUUUUACAGCGGUCGAUAUAUGAACCGCUAUAAAAGCCAUUACUAUUAACAGCGGUUAUGUUUUGUUCCACUAUUUACAGCGUUUAUGAUCAAACCGCUGUAAAGAUUUAGUGAAAAAUUAAUUCUAGAUUUAGUAAUUGUUCCACAUGAGAUUCGAACCCAGGUACCUUAAGCUAUUUCAAAAUUACUUUCCACUAGGCUCAGGUUAGAUUUAUGUUUUGUCUUCGAUUUAUUGCUAUUUACUUUCCACUAGAACCACUCACUUAACCCAAAUCUCGUAAAACCCUUAUUUUUUUCCACUACCACUCUCGAUCUGCUACCUCAAUCUCUCAACCGCUGUGCUCCUUCUCCCAACCGCUGCAACCCAUCGUGC